Molecule: ribosomal RNA, 783 nt
Filed under: uncultured bacterium
Lineage: Bacteria
Description: bacterial SSU rRNA
Rfam family: Bacterial small subunit ribosomal RNA
Source: RNAcentral
AGGGUUUGAUCCUGGCUCAGGAUGAACGCUAGCGGCAGGCCUAAUACAUGCAAGUCGAGGGGCAGCAAGUCAGUUUACUGAUGUUGGCGACCGGCGCACGGGUGCGUAACGCGUAUGCAACCUACCUAUUUCUGGGAGAUAGCCCGGGGAAACCCGGAUUAAUAUCCCAUAGUAUCACAUGAUGGCAUCUGAAAGUGAUUAAAGUUUCGAUGGAAAUAGAUGGGCAUGCGUAAGAUUAGCUUGUUGGUGAGGUAAUGGCUCACCAAGGCAACGAUCUUUAGGGGGUCUGAGAGGAUGAUCCCCCACACUGGAACUGAGACACGGUCCAGACUCCUACGGGAGGCAGCAGUAGGGAAUAUUGGUCAAUGGGCGAAAGCCUGAACCAGCCAUGCCGCGUGCAGGAUGACAGCUUUCUGAGUUGUAAACUGCUUUUCUACGAGAAGAAAAAACCCUUGCGAGGGUAAUUGACGGUACCGUAGGAAUAAGCACCGGCUAACUCCGUGCCAGCAGCCGCGGUAAUACGGAGGGUGCAAGCGUUGUCCGGAUUUAUUGGGUUUAAAGGGUACGUAGGUGGAUUCUUAAGUCCGUGGUGAAAGCCCGCAGCUCAACUGCGGAACUGCCAUGGAUACUGGGAAUCUUGAAUUCAGUUGAGGUUGGCGGAAUUUAUGGUGUAGCGGUGAAAUGCAUAGAUACCAUAAAGAACACCUAUUGCGAAGGCAGCUAACUGGACUUGAAUUGACACUGAGGUACGAAAGCGUGGGGAGCGAACAGGAUUAGAUACCC